UACGAAGGGGGCUAGCGUUGCUCGGAAUCACUGGGCGUAAAGGGUGCGUAGGCGGGUCUUUAAGUCAGAGGGGAAAUCCUGGAGCUCAACUCCAGAACUGCCUUUGAUACUGAAGAUCUUGAGUUCGGGAGAGGUGAGUGGAACUGCGAGUGUAGAGGUGAAAUUCGUAGAUAUUCGCAAGAACCCCAGUGGCGAAGGCGGCUCACUGGCCCGAUACUGACGCUGAGGCACGAAAGCGUGGGGAGCAAACAGG
RNAcentral lists this ribosomal RNA (253 nucleotides) under uncultured bacterium. RNAcentral describes it as "partial 16S ribosomal RNA". It matches the Rfam family "Bacterial small subunit ribosomal RNA", at positions 524 to 776 of the family's 1533-position model. The record is from RNAcentral.